This 765-nucleotide long non-coding RNA is filed under the name Nicotiana tabacum (common tobacco). RNAcentral's name for it is "long non-coding RNA (NTAB_LNC017890)". The record is from RNAcentral. Lineage: Eukaryota; Viridiplantae; Streptophyta; Magnoliopsida; Solanales; Solanaceae.
GAUGGAAUUGACGUUGAUGCACAGUUAAUAUUAUCACUAUCGUUUAAAAACUCUGUACUUCUACACAAGGGACACACGUGAGUUCAGAAACUAGUAUAUAUAUAUAUAUAUAUAGACACACACUCAUAUACUUGCCAACAGCAGCUCUUUGCAUUUUGUUUCAUUAUUAAUACAAAGCUUAAAUGACAAACAUAUAAAUAAGAAAAGACUGACGAAACCACUGAAAUUAAAUUGAAAUCUUAGAACCUACAUGAAGGUUUAUCUUCUAAUAGAGUAGCAUUAUACCAGCAAGUACAACAUAUCCAGCAGUCACUACAAUCACUGUCAGAAGUGCAAGAAUUCCAACAAGUAUUAAGUUGUGGGAAUAACCUCCUCGUAAUUCUUGAGAGGUCAUGCUUAACAUCGAGUGUAGCCAUGAAUUGUGUCUUUGAGAUCCACGACAUGUUGACUGAAAUAUUUCAUCAUCAUAGUUAUAAAAUAAAAUUAUAAACGGUACAUCAUUAUAAAACAUGCAUGUCGAAAUGUCAUGGAUAAAGAUGCAUGCAUAUUCUUGCAUACAUAUAAAUAUGUAUAUAGUCUCACAUAUGUACCUAAAUACAUAAUUGAAAGCAAGCAGAAUCAAAAUUUAAAGAUAGUAAAAAUAGAUACUAACCAGUGAUUGCUAUAAGAAGAACAAUGAAAAUAGAACAAAGCUUAAACAAUGUCAUGAUUGAAAAUUUGAAAUUAUACUUCUCUUUGCUUUCCGGUGGUCAUAAUUUAUAGACC